GGAUGUGAGGGCAAUCUGGCUGUGACGUUUGUCACCCCAUUGAUUGCCAGGGUUGAUUUGGCUGAUCUGGCUGGCUCAGCGGGUGUCCCCUUUCUCCCUCACUGCUCCAUGUGCGUCCUUCCUGAAGCUGCGCGCUUGGUCGAAGAAGACCACCAUCCCCGAUAGAGGAGGACCGUUCUUCUCCGUCAAGGGUAUACGGGUAGCUGCGUUCCCCUGCUAGAACCUCGAAACAAGCUCUCAAGAAAGGGUUGAGUUGAUGACAGAGAAUAAGAGUGAUUGGUCUCAGC
Molecule: non-coding RNA, 287 nt
Organism: Camelus ferus (Wild Bactrian camel)
Lineage: Eukaryota; Metazoa; Chordata; Mammalia; Artiodactyla; Camelidae
Source: Rfam